CUGUCAAUAAGUACAAAAUAAAAAUUGUAAGUACUAAGAAACUCUUGUGUCAAUUAAUUGGCUUUUUUUUUCUUUUUUAGGGGAGCAUAAAGUUACAACAUGGGUUAUAAUCACUGAUGAGCUACAAGUACCUACUUCCCACAAUCUCAGGAAAAAAAUCAAUAAAAUCAGCUGGCCUGAAGAAUACAACAUUUAAAAAAUGUUAGGCAAAGACUCUAAUGGAAGAGGCUUACUGUGUGCCAUUUGCAAGGCUGAGAGGUGACCCAGAGAUGUUGGCUUCCUCCUCAGGGAUGCUCACCUGGCACUGUCCAGGUGCUGGGGGAGCCCGAGGCUUCCGUGCAGACACAGCCGAGUCCGAGAACCACCCCACGUGCAACCCGUCCCACAAAUGGCACAGACACAGCAUCAAGAAACCCUGGUCACAAAGAUCUGAAUCUCUUAAAGGGGUAGACCCAAGUUCCUGAGAAACACGCGCUUUGCCAGGAAGCACAAGGUGGGUCAGAAAAAGAUGCAGGCCAGCAACUCCAAGUCACGGCCCUUGUGAAGCCCGAGGGCAGAACGGGAACUCAGAUCUCCUCCAGGGCUGCACAUUUUACAGGCAAGGUGGAGGCCUGGCAGAGAAGUCCUUCAAAUAACUGGCUGGACCCACCCCAGUGUGGAAAAAAGAGUGUUCUGUGCACUGUCCAGGCAUCGAAGCUGUGGUGUCUCAGCCCAGCUGGAACCGCUGUGAGUGAGUGAGGAAUGGGGAGGGACCCUAAAAUGCUCUCGACUGUCGGCACACUCUUUAAUAUUAAGCCUCUGUAACCUUGAGUGGGUUCAUCCUUUUAAAAAAAUUUAACCAGUCGGUGUAGGUUAGGUUAUGCUAUGGUAACGAAUGAUGCCCAGACCUCAGUGCUCAAAACAACAAAGAUUUCUUUUAUGUUCAUUCCACCUGCCCAUCUCGGGGUGGCUGGGGCCUCUCCUCCGUAGUCCUCAUUCAGGGACCCAAGUUGAUGGAGCAGCUGCCGUGUGGACUGGUGACAGCAGUCGUGGCAGGAAGACGGCAAAUGUGGCAAACUGUGGGUCGGUUCAUAGAGUCGGCCACCUGAAAGCGACCCAAGUCACUUUCACCCACUGUGGCUUCCCGAAAGGCCUCACUGAGAGGGUGGGGAGGUGCAGCUCCACCAUGCCUCCAGCAGGGGGAGAAUGAGACCGUGGGUGCCAGCCUUAGCG
This is a non-coding RNA of Vicugna pacos (alpaca), 1212 nucleotides long. NCBI's taxonomy places the organism in Eukaryota, Metazoa, Chordata, Mammalia, Artiodactyla, Camelidae. The record is from RefSeq and is a predicted model, not a curated record.